UUAGAGGCUCCAGUGUGAAAACGGAGAUGAUAACCUUGGUAAAGGAAGGAUGGACUGGCCAGAAAGACAUGGUAUGGAAAGGCCUCUGGGUCUCGGUGAUUUCUAAGAGACAGAUAUUGUCCUGUGGGCUGGCAUGGAGGCCCUUGGAAUGGUGAUGAGCCAGCAAUCUGGAGCACCAAAGCUUCAAGGGGCAGAGUGCUGGGUUUCCAAGACCAGGCAGCAAAAUGGAUGGUCCUGAGGUAGAACAUGCUAGAAAUGACACUCUCCACAGUGCAUCAGUAAAAUAGACCGUACUGUGGAAAUCAUGUGGCGUGCCUAAGCGAACUUCAAAACAUGGAUCCAGACCUACACCUAGAGGAAUGGAGUGGAAAAAUGGAGUGCAUAACGGAGAUUUGUUAGUCGUAAAGAAAAAUAAUGUUAUGCCAUUCACAAGGAAAUGAACGAAGGAAAGAGACUGCUGUGUCCACCCAAAUGGAUCGGCCAUGGAAA
This is a long non-coding RNA of Microtus ochrogaster (prairie vole), 489 nucleotides long. RefSeq lists it as uncharacterized. The transcript is spliced from 3 exons. The record is from RefSeq and is a predicted model, not a curated record. Lineage: Eukaryota; Metazoa; Chordata; Mammalia; Rodentia; Cricetidae.